Molecule: ribosomal RNA, 427 nt
Filed under: Rhodoferax sp.
Lineage: Bacteria; Pseudomonadati; Pseudomonadota; Betaproteobacteria; Burkholderiales; Comamonadaceae
Description: bacterial SSU rRNA
Rfam family: Bacterial small subunit ribosomal RNA
Source: RNAcentral
CAAUGCCGCGUGCAGGAUGAAGGCCUUCGGGUUGUAAACUGCUUUUGUACGGAACGAAACGGUCCUUUCUAAUACAAGGGGCUAAUGACGGUACCGUAAGAAUAAGCACCGGCUAACUACGUGCCAGCAGCCGCGGUAAUACGUAGGGUGCGAGCGUUAAUCGGAAUUANUGGGCGUAAAGCGUGCGCAGGCGGUUAUAUGAGACAGAUGUGAAAUCCCCGGGCUCAACCUGGGACCUGCAUUUGUGACUGUAUAGCUAGAGUACGGUAGAGGGGGAUGGAAUUCCGCGUGUAGCAGUGAAAUGCGUAGAUAUGCGGAGGAACACCGAUGGCGAAGGCAAUCCCCUGGACCUGUACUGACGCUCAUGCACCAAAGCGUGGGGAGCAAACAGGAUUAAAUACCCUGGUAGUCCAGGGCCUAAACUAUG